AACAGACUUACCCCAAUGUGACUCCUCGCCCAGCUAGCAGGGUCAGGCAUAGGCUCCACUGACCAGAGCCACAGAGAGCAUGUCAAGGAAUGUCCACUGCCUUUGGCAUGUGUUGAGACUUUUCCAUUGAACUGCCUAGCAGCCAGAGACUAUGAGCAUAAAACUGACUCACAAGCCGAGGCCUAUCAAGAGUGAUCUGUAACCCCCAGGAGCUGAGGACUGUGCAGGGUGAACGAGAAGCAGCUCCUUGCAUGUGGCCUGUGAACUCUGAGUCAGGUGCUUCACAGAGCUCUUCCAGGUACUUGUGCCGAGGCCUCUGCAGUGGUUUUUCACAGCAUAGUGUUUAGUAUAUUUAACGGGCAUAUUCCCUCAAGGUGCACACUUGGCUUUUACGAAUGCCCUGUACAUAUCUUUUCAAACUCUGUCUUUGUAUAGACAUUGAUUUGAUAUAAUGCUAACAAGUAGCCACAUUUUUGUUUGUUUGAGACUGUGUAUGUGUGUGUACGUGUGUAUGUGUACAUGUGGGCAUGUUGUCUUUUCUCAUUGUUUUUAUGAAAUGAUAGCUGGUAUGUGGUUCUAUUUGUUCCAGGAAGGAUCUUCUCUGAAGGGAAGACUGUCUUCAUCUUGUAGGACCUGUACUCUGUGGGGCCCCCUCCCACUCACAUGCCUAUUCUAUAGGUGUCAGCAGUUGAAGGAAAUCUGAGAACUCCAGAGAGAGAGAGAGAGAGAGACAGAGAGAGACAGAGAGAGACAGAGAGAGACAGAGACACAGAGACAGAGACAGAGACACAGAGAGACAGAAAGAGGGAGAGAGAGAAUGAGUGUGUGUGGGGAGAAUGAGUAUGUGUGAGAGAGAGAGAGUGUGUGUGUGACAGAGAGAAAGAGAAUGAGUGUGUGUGUGAGAGAGACAGAGAGAGAGAGAGAGAGAGAGAGAGAGAGAGAGAGAGAGAGAGUGAGUAUGUGUGUGUGUGUGUGUGUGUGUGUGUGUGUGUGUGUGUGUGUGUGUGUGAUUUUGACUUUCAGAAUGGUGGGGUUAGUUACUUAGAUAUUUUUCACUAAAAAAUGAAAAGGCUUUAAAUUUUUCCUUAAAAUAUUAUUGUCACUUGUUUUCAACCUAAACCUUUUUAAGACUUUUUACAUAAGAAUGGCAACCCUGUCAGUCCCCUCCCAGACUGCCCAUCACUUCGGGUUUUCAAAACGAAAGCACAAAAGAGUGGGCGCACAGGUGCCUGGCAUGUGCAUACCCCUGCACAGCUGUGUUGCGCCCUGGCUGAUCACAGAGGUAUGAUCCUGAGCAGUUGGACCUGGGAAACUGAGGCCUCCUCUGCUAGUUGCCAACCCCACUGCCAUUAGUGUGAAUUCCUUAGGGUGCUCCAGCAAAUAAGCAUCUGCCCAAUUGUUUGGACAUUGUCUUUUUGGUAGUCAAAGCAUUAGGGAUUAGGGACAGCAGUGUUUUCUGUUUAAGCAGUUAGAGCCAGAUGCUUCCCCUCUCCCAGUGGAUGGUGACUCCCCAGAUCCCAGCCAGAGUUGAUGGAUCUUUUGACAACCAAAUGGCAUCCCAUUAGAAAACCAAGAAAAAACCCAGCAUUGCUACUAGAUUGUCUUUUAAUUCAAGUGAGAGCAAAAUGGCAGAGAAAGGCUGUGAGUCCCCAGGCCUGUGUCUUUUCAGAAUAGUGUGUGUGCCCUGAUUAUGUGUUUGCUCACAGUCAAGCUUGAGCUGCUUCCAGGCUGGGCUGCUUUUCGCUUGUGAAGUGCUGAAGCUCCAUUCCCAGGCGCCACCAAUUCUGAAUCAGUCACAUCUUCCCCACCAAAGUCUCUUAAUACUAAUCAGUAUAAUUAGCUAAUUUUAGACUGCUGUAAUCAGCCUGCUUCCAACUACAGUAAAAGCCCAUUAAUUUGAGCCCACUAAUUCAGAACUUAGAGGAAAUCCAAAUUGGAGAUAAUUCACAGUAACUGCUAUUCUUGCUACAUAAAAGUAUUUGAAAGUGUCUUUCCUUCAGUUAGUCUUCAGGGGCUUCUUUGUGAAAGGAAUUCGGUUUAAAAUUGGUACCUUUUUCAAAGGAAAAGCUCGAGGUAUCAAGGAUCCCUUCAUUGUGCCUUCAGCUUGGAGUUUAGCAGUUCUUGUGUGUAAGGCUCUUUCUGUGCAGCGUGAUCCCUUGUUCUCUCUCCAUUGUGGGAAUGUUAGAUAUUGCAGCCUUUCAUUCUGUGUCUGUAUUUAUCCUGUGAACAAUAUAGUUCGUGAUCUUGACUGCAAUUCCAACACAAGUACACGUUUUCCUAAGUGUUCUGUAAAGCAGAUGUUGCACUAGCAGACUGCCUGCUCUCAUUCACCCCCAAGUCUUCAAACUUGGAGCUUCUCCUUUCCCAGGCUGUAUGAGGCGAAUUUCUCUCAACCAAGAAUUUCUGUGACAAAGAUCUCCAAACAGCACACCCCCUCAGCUCAAUGCCUCAACAGUUGUUUCACUGUACUGCUAUCUGACCGCUGAACGUGCCUGCCCUUCUCCAGCUCCCAGCGAGCAUUAAGAAUGAUAUCUAGGACUGGGACCAGCCCUCCAGCUGCUUUUGCCUCCCCACCUGUCUUGCCUCACUGAUGCCACUUUCCCAGGCCAGAAUUCACCUGCUAUUUUACUCUGUCAUUGUGAAUUUGUGACAGUGACAACCCCAAUAUGUGCAACUGAGCUUAUAGAAACGAUUGCUGUGAAAUGGAUUAAUUUUGGUACCAUUUGAAACUGUGCUUGUAUUUCAUGUGCUGACAGAUGUAAGCUGGGACAUCUGUACAUUUAAUCCUAUGUUGGGAUUUCAAAUGGAGCCCAGGGCAACAAACCAACUUGCUUCUUAGCUUUCUCAUGCACGCUCUCUGGCUCCCUUUUUACAGUUUAGCUGUUAGUUUUUGUCUCUGUAUAAGAAAAUAAUGAGUAAAAAUAAAAAGCAAAUGGCAUCCA
Molecule: long non-coding RNA, 2942 nt
Filed under: Cricetulus griseus (Chinese hamster)
Lineage: Eukaryota; Metazoa; Chordata; Mammalia; Rodentia; Cricetidae
Description: lncRNA (ENSCGRG00015039740.1)
Source: RNAcentral